This 498-nucleotide ribosomal RNA is filed under the name uncultured bacterium. RNAcentral describes it as "bacterial SSU rRNA". It matches the Rfam family "Bacterial small subunit ribosomal RNA", at positions 382 to 870 of the family's 1533-position model. The record is from RNAcentral.
UCUGACGGAGCAACGCCGCGUGAGUGAUGAAGGCUUUCGGGUCGUAAAACUCUGUUGUUAGGGAAGAACAAGUGCUAGUUGAAUAAGCUGGCACCUUGACGGUACCUAACCAGAAAGCCACGGCUAACUACGUGCCAGCAGCCGCGGUAAUACGUAGGUGGCAAGCGUUAUCCGGAAUUAUUGGGCGUAAAGCGCGCGCAGGUGGUUUCUUAAGUCUGAUGUGAAAGCCCACGGCUCAACCGUGGAGGGUCAUUGGAAACUGGGAGACUUGAGUGCAGAAGAGGAAAGUGGAAUUCCAUGUGUAGCGGUGAAAUGCGUAGAGAUAUGGAGGAACACCAGUGGCGAAGGCGACUUUCUGGUCUGUAACUGACACUGAGGCGCGAAAGCGUGGGGAGCAAACAGGAUUAGAUACCCUGGUAGUCCACGCCGUAAACGAUGAGUGCUAAGUGUUAGAGGGUUUCCGCCCUUUAGUGCUGAAGUUAACGCAUUAAGCACUCC